GCUGCUGUAAGAAGAAAGACAGGGAGGUUCAGGGUGGAGCUAAUGAAUUGUAUGUGGCAAUGUACUACUGAGCUAAGUGUGCAGAGAAAAGGAUAAAACAUGACAUUCCAACCCUUAUGAAGUUUAUUUGAAGUCUUUCAGAAUGAAUUAUCUGAACAAUCAGACACUAAACAAACCAUCAGAAGUGUGAUGAGUGCUAUGAACAUGCAGAGAACAUUGCGCUACAAGAGCACCUAGGAGGCAAGGCGAACCUAGUUCAGGCAGUCAGUUAAAAGUUAUCUGACAAGUGGAAUGUUUAAGGGGACCUGGAAUAUAAGUCAGCUGAGUGAAGAGAUGAACAAAGAACUUUCCAGGCAAAGGAGGUGUGAAAGCCUGAGGCAGGAAAGAAGACAGGGUAUUAGAGAAACCAAAAGAAGGUCCACAGAAUCAUGAUGAGCAUUGAGUAAUGUACAGAAUUGUUGAUUCAUUAUGUUGCACACCUGAAACUAAUAUAACACUGCUUUGUUAAUUAUACUUCAAUUGAAAAAAAAAAAAGGCUGAUGCAAUGUAACUAAGGGAAGAGUAGCUGAAAAGACAAGCUAAAACUAGAUCACACCGUCUUACAAGGUUAAACCUUUCCCCUGAUGGCAGUGGGAGGUCAAUGAACGGUAUUAAGCAGGACAGAGAUAUGACAAGAUCUGGGCUUUUAAAAGAUGACUCUUGCUCAAGGUAGAGACUAGACAGAAGAGGAGCCAGAGGAGAUGUGGGGAAGCUAAGGAGACAGGCACCGCAGACAUCUCAACAUCUACAACAGGGAUCCAAGAACAUGUGGGAGUAGCAGAACAUGGGUCAUACUCAAGCAUCCUCCUGAGAGCAGGGAAAGGGCAGAACACCAAUGGCAAAAGUUACUCCUUAACCCAUGGAGUAUUAAAGGUGAUUCCUACCUUAAUAGGGAAGAGGAUGGGAAACCAUGAGAACAUCCCAGGAGAGUGAGUUUCUGGACGGAUACCUGUUUGAAAAAAUAAUGAAAACAUUGAGGUCUCUGUGACUCUGCUUUUUGCCUGGGUUGAGGGGCAUGUCUUCUGUGAACAGAGAAACAAGUAAUCAAAGAUCCCCAUUCAUUGAUUCUUGGGCUCCCUGUGCAUCUAAAUGAAACAUUAACAAAACUGCCCAGGUAACAUACUCAUGCCCUGCCAUCCACUGCCCCAGACACUCACUCAGGGUUAUGUCCUGAUAAAGCACAGUUUCAAAGUAGCCUGCAAAGCCAUGUAGCACUGUGUUCACCUCCACAGGAAACUCCAAGGUGCAAUAGCGGUUGUUGUCAAUCAUAGGAUCUGUCAAGGAAGAGUUAUGUGGAUGACAAGGGGCCAAAAGCUCUAGACAACUUGGUAAAGCAAGAGCAAAAAACAGGAUGGGAAGCCUAGACAGAGCAGACCCAGGAUAGCAAGAGAAGAAGCCAGAAAGCUCCUCCAUCACUUCAUCUUCUCCAGUGCAAGAAAAUAGUUGAUGCUAAUGUAGAAAAAGAAGAUGACUAAAGAGAAAAGAGCUCUCCAGAAGACAGUGGCUCUUUACCUCAGGGUCACGGUCCUUUUCCCGACAGGCACGGACCUCAUUAUACAGCUUGGAGGAGGAGAUGGGAGCCAGAAAGGAGGUAUACUCCCCAGGGAUGCUCACACCAUCAUCUGGAGAGUAGGAGGGUCAUAUUAGUUCCCAAGGGAUGAAAAUGGUGCGUCUAACUGAAGGUUCAAACCUCCUACAUCAAAACAUACCACAUGUGACAACAUGGAGCUGUCUAGGUCUGUUUUGUCUAGGUCCUUUCAUGAGAAAUUCUACUUUGAGGUUAACUUACAGAGACACAGGUUAAAACUGGAAAGAACCUAAGAUAUUCUAAAUCUAGUGGUUCUUAACUUCUGUAGGGUCAUAAAGAACCUUGAUAUAUGGAUGAAAGCUAAGCCCAAGGUACAUAUUACAUCAGCUUAGGGAAUCCACAGACCUCAGACUUAAGGAGGAUCUGCUCUAGUCCACUCCUCUCAUUUUACAGAUGUGAACAGUGAGGUUCAGAGAAGUUACUUCAUUUGCUAGGGCAAUGACCCAAGUCCAACCCACCUUCCUUUAAACCUUGUAACCUCCUCCUAGGCUGCUGCUGCCUCACUCAACCCGCCCCCGCCCCCCAAACUGCCACAGCCUUCCAAGCUGAGAAUCCAUUCCCCUUACUCAGCACAUCCCAGCCUAGAGGCACCUUUUAAGAAGUGUUGGGCUCCAUCCAGGCACUCAGGUGACAGUUCAUUGUCAGCAAAGGAGCCCAAAAGCUCACUGACGAUGAUGUCUGCUUUCUCUGGAGCCACCCAUUCCCGCAUGUCCGAUGAGACUACGGUCACCUGGCUUCCCCAUUCUUCAAAUUGCCAGUUCUCUAGCCUAAAGUAAAGAUAAUGCAAGUGAGGACACUGGUAAGAAAAACUGGCACUGGAGACAAACUCCCAGCAAGGAGGUUGCUACUCACGUCACCACGGCAUUUGGGUUCUUCUCCACAGCAUACAGCUUUAUCCUCCGGUCAGCCUGCUUGGCUGCCCUCAGAGAAGCAUUUACCAGGGGACCCCGGCCUGCUCCCAACACCAUUAGCACUCUAAGAAAGAGGAAGGGUCAAGCUGACUUAGCAGAUAGAGAAGAGGUAUGCAAAUCUCUGGGAUUGUGGGCAAGAGCACUCACUGGACAUUGGUAUCCUUCUCUUCGUCAGGCACUCGAUCUAACAGACAUUUAUAGAUGGCCUGGUGGAGGAAGGAGAAAAGACCUCAUGGCUAUGAUCCCAUCUUCACCCAGGACAUCCCGGCCCUGUACUUGACCCAGACCCACACUAUACCUGCUGAUAUUGAGAGUAUUUGAUGGGGUCCUUUUCAAACACUUCAUAUGUCUGAGAUUCCAGAUUGUCCAUCAGUGGCUGACGAAUGAGAGGAAAAAGGGAAAAUAAGUUAGCCAGUUUCUGGCAAGGGCAACACACCAGAAUACCAAAAAAUUUCCCACUGCUUCCUGAGCUCUGGUAGGAUUUUAGGGCACCUAUGGUCAGAGACUCUUCUCCCACACCUCCCUCCUCUCAGAAUACUCCAGACCCACCUGGAGUGGGGACUGCAGAUAGUCUUCAUAGCCCUUGGCAAAGAGUUCGUAAGCAUUGGGUGGAGGACGGUUCUGGCUCAAGUAUUCCAGGUACUGGAGGUAAGAACAGAACUCCUUCUCUGAGUGGUGGUUGGUGCCUGUGAUGAUGAACUGCACUUCCAGCUGUGAGAGAAGUCAGACCAUCAGGUACAGUCCUCGAACCAAGAUUCUGGGAUAUUGUUAUGGCUUAUGGCCAAAGAACCCUGGCGUAAAAUAAGGCCCAAACGAUCAGUCUUCCAGUUCAACAGAUAUCUCCAAGUAUCAACACAACAGCAUGAAGCUUCAAUAAACUUAUAAAGCCCUCUAAUGCCAUAUAAGCAUCAUCCUGACUCAAACAGCCCCAUCGAUCCUCACUGUAACAUCUUAAAUGAAACCUUCUGCAAAGUUCUCAUGAGAUUUGGUUCCUUUUGAAAUGUUCUGGGGCUCCUCAUCCCAUUCGCCUCUUUGUUCUCAAGAGCUCCAGUUUUGAUGAAAUCGCUCCCCAGAAACCAGAAAGGAAAAGAAUCAGCCUCACAGAAAAGAAAAAAAAAGCACCACACAUAUGUGAAUAAGGCAAGAGGAUUAGCUGGAGUAUCUUUGGAAACCUUCUACCACCCACCUUGAGGAGCCGGAAGAUCAGCCUCUGAUGCAUCUUAGAAAGAACAGGAAAUCCCUUCUUAUUGGUCAGGAAAAUGCUGGUGGGGAGAAUGGCUGCUUUGAUGGGCUCCCCAAGCCAACGAUCAAUGACAUGGUUAGAUGGGAGGUCGGCCCCAAUUUCAAGAGCUACACGAGGGAAAAGAAAGUUAACUACUAUAUAAGAAGGCUUUCCUUGCUUUUUUGUGCAACAUCUGUUUACUCCUUAAGAGCAAGGCCUACUGAGACAUAAAGUAGCAAAACUGCCCAGCAGCCUAGUAUACAUGAAACUCCUUUUUUUUUUUAAACGUUUUUUUUUUUUUAUAUUUGAGACAGGGAGAGACAGAGCAUGAAUAGGGGAGGGUCAGAGAGAGGGAGACACAGAAUCUGAAACAGGCUCCAGGCUCUGAGCUGUCAGCACAGAGCCCGACGCGGGGCUCGAACUCACAGACCGCGAGAUCAUGACCUGAGCCGAAGUCGGCUGCUUAACCGACUGAGCCACCCAGGUGCCCCUGAAACUCCUGAUUUUUUUUUUUUUAACUGUAUCCAGCUUUAUUAAAGACACUUUUCAUAAACAAUCAUGGUAUUUCAGGCAGAACAUGGGCAGACAAUGUUAACAGUAUACAGCAACUUUCAAACUCCUUUCUUUAAUGGACUACCAAAGUCAGAAAGCCAUUUCAUAAAACCCAAUGAAGUCUUCAUUUGAUGCUCUGAACAGGGAAAAGUUUAAAGAAAUUUUAAUAUUUUAUUUAUUUUUGAGAGACAGAGACAGCACAAGUGGGGGGAGGGGCCGAGAGAGAGGGAGACACAGAACUCGAAGGGGGCUCCAGGCUCUGAGCUGUCAGCACAGAGCCCAAAGUAGGUCCCAAACCCAUGAACUGUUGAGAUCAUGACCUAAGCUGAAGCCAGACGCUUAACCGACUGAGCCACCCAAGUGCCUGAACAAGGAAAAGUUCAGAGUAAGGGUUGACAUUUCACAUUUAGCAUGUUGUUAAACAACUUUUCACAAGCCAACCCUGACUUUGAAAUGAAAAUGGCAGAAUUAUCAAUCUGAUGCUCCACAAGCUAAAAGAAGAACUCUUUUGAGGGAUGCCAUCUCCAUGGUGACCCUGCAAAGUCCAGAUUGCCUGACAUACUGGGAACCAUUUUGACACUCGGGUCAGGUUCCAACAGGUCUCUGGGUUUAAGGAAGUCAAAUCUAUGUUGAAGGCAGAGAAGGAGAAGAGGACAUAAAAAAUCAAUUUUAGUUUUUCCACACCAUAAGGUGUCUGUGCCAAGGUGGCUAAUGUGUAUCAUCAUCAAGGAAUCCCUCCUCCUGAGAACCAAAGAGGAAGUUUCUCAGAACUAGAAGGGAAAGGUAUUUUCUCCCCCUUAUCAAUCUAGCUUCAGAGAUAUUCAAUUAGUGACAUUUGUCUUCCCCCUAAAUAACAAUGAAGUGUUCUGUGUACUAACAACAUAGCUUAAAAGAAAAAAAAGUAAA
Molecule: long non-coding RNA, 5218 nt
Organism: Acinonyx jubatus (cheetah)
Lineage: Eukaryota; Metazoa; Chordata; Mammalia; Carnivora; Felidae
Exons: 2
Source: RefSeq, a predicted model, not a curated record